GCAACAGAAAUUUAUAAAAAAGGAAAGAAAAUUUCGAAAUCAGCUCAGUCAGUGGUUGCUUUUAAGUCAAAAUAUAAAACAAAAAAGUAAAUUAUGCAAAAAUAUCUGUGAAAAUGAAAUGAAAAUUGCCACAACCGCACAUAACGCGUACCGCUGGGCCACAGAGGGACAGUGCCACCAAAAAAGCAACAACUCACUAAAAAUAGCAUAGAGCUAUAUGGCAGUACGAAAAUGUUGGCGCGCAGGCAAUGCCGGAAAGAUUUUUUCAUCGACAAAAUUAUUUGGUAGUCUACAAUACACAUAUACGUGUAUGUCUAGAUAUGUCUGUCUUUCUGUCUGUCUAUAUGUACGUAAGUGACGCGCAUUAAAUGGCGAGUGAAAAAACAUAAAUGGAAAAUACCAAAUUAUUACGGUAAUAAAGUUGGCAAUAAAAGAGAUAAUAAAUGAACUCUUCAUGUUGCAGUUGAGAGACUUACUUGAUUUUUGCUUGACUUGUUUGCAAUAUUGGUACACCAAAAAUGAAUGUCAGAAUCUCGUUGGGUGAAAACAGCAAGAAACAAAACAAAAAAUAUUGUUUUUAAACGUCGCCACUCACUUUCAAAACACUUUAAAGUUACUUUUUUUUGCAAAUAAUAUUUUUGCUCAAGAAUAUUCACCUACAUACAUACAUAUAUGCUUCUGCUGUUAAUGACAAAACUGUGCCAACUUAUGAAUUUUGUCAGUUUGCUUUUGCACACCUUACA
Molecule: long non-coding RNA, 743 nt
Organism: Ceratitis capitata (Mediterranean fruit fly)
Lineage: Eukaryota; Metazoa; Arthropoda; Insecta; Diptera; Tephritidae
Exons: 2
Source: RefSeq, a predicted model, not a curated record